RNAcentral lists this ribosomal RNA (2903 nucleotides) under Yersinia pestis. Its description in RNAcentral is "bacterial LSU rRNA". It matches the Rfam family "Bacterial large subunit ribosomal RNA". The record is from RNAcentral. Lineage: Bacteria; Pseudomonadati; Pseudomonadota; Gammaproteobacteria; Enterobacterales; Yersiniaceae.
UAAGCGACUAAGCGUACACGGUGGAUGCCUAGGCAGUCAGAGGCGAUGAAGGGCGUGCUAAUCUGCGAAAAGCGUCGGUAAGCUGAUAUGAAGCGUUAUAACCGACGAUACCCGAAUGGGGAAACCCAGUGCAAUACGUUGCACUAUCGUUAGAUGAAUACAUAGUCUAACGAGGCGAACCGGGGGAACUGAAACAUCUAAGUACCCCGAGGAAAAGAAAUCAACCGAGAUUCCCCCAGUAGCGGCGAGCGAACGGGGAGGAGCCCAGAGUCUGAAUCAGUUUGUGUGUUAGUGGAAGCGUCUGGAAAGUCGCACGGUACAGGGUGAUAGUCCCGUACACCAAAAUGCACAGGCUGUGAACUCGAUGAGUAGGGCGGGACACGUGACAUCCUGUCUGAAUAUGGGGGGACCAUCCUCCAAGGCUAAAUACUCCUGACUGACCGAUAGUGAACCAGUACCGUGAGGGAAAGGCGAAAAGAACCCCGGCGAGGGGAGUGAAAUAGAACCUGAAACCGUGUACGUACAAGCAGUGGGAGCACCUUCGUGGUGUGACUGCGUACCUUUUGUAUAAUGGGUCAGCGACUUAUAUUUUGUAGCAAGGUUAACCGAAUAGGGGAGCCGUAGGGAAACCGAGUCUUAACUGGGCGUCUAGUUGCAAGGUAUAGACCCGAAACCCGGUGAUCUAGCCAUGGGCAGGUUGAAGGUUGGGUAACACUAACUGGAGGACCGAACCGACUAAUGUUGAAAAAUUAGCGGAUGACUUGUGGCUGGGGGUGAAAGGCCAAUCAAACCGGGAGAUAGCUGGUUCUCCCCGAAAGCUAUUUAGGUAGCGCCUCGUGAACUCAUCUUCGGGGGUAGAGCACUGUUUCGGCUAGGGGGCCAUCCCGGCUUACCAAACCGAUGCAAACUCCGAAUACCGAAGAAUGUUAUCACGGGAGACACACGGCGGGUGCUAACGUCCGUCGUGAAGAGGGAAACAACCCAGACCGCCAGCUAAGGUCCCAAAGUCAUGGUUAAGUGGGAAACGAUGUGGGAAGGCACAGACAGCCAGGAUGUUGGCUUAGAAGCAGCCAUCAUUUAAAGAAAGCGUAAUAGCUCACUGGUCGAGUCGGCCUGCGCGGAAGAUGUAACGGGGCUAAACCAUGCACCGAAGCUGCGGCAGCGACGUUUAGGCGUUGUUGGGUAGGGGAGCGUUCUGUAAGCCGUUGAAGGUGACCUGUGAGGGUUGCUGGAGGUAUCAGAAGUGCGAAUGCUGACAUAAGUAACGAUAAUGCGGGUGAAAAACCCGCACGCCGGAAGACCAAGGGUUCCUGUCCAACGUUAAUCGGGGCAGGGUGAGUCGACCCCUAAGGCGAGGCUGAAAAGCGUAGUCGAUGGGAAACAGGUUAAUAUUCCUGUACUUGGUGUUACUGCGAAGGGGGGACGGAGAAGGCUAGGCUGGCCGGGCGACGGUUGUCCCGGUUUAAGCGUGUAGGGGGAGUGACCAGGUAAAUCCGGUUGCUUAUCAACCCUGAGGCGUGAUGACGAUGCACCACGGUGCAGAAGCAGUUGAUGCCAUGCUUCCAGGAAAAGCCUCUAAGCAUCAGGUAACAUUAAAUCGUACCCCAAACCGACACAGGUGGUCAGGUAGAGAAUACUCAGGCGCUUGAGAGAACUCGGGUGAAGGAACUAGGCAAAAUGGUGCCGUAACUUCGGGAGAAGGCACGCUGGCGUUAGGUGAAAGGACUAGCUCCUGGAGCUGAAGCCAGUCGCAGAUACCAGCUGGCUGCAACUGUUUAAUAAAAACACAGCACUGUGCAAACACGAAAGUGGACGUAUACGGUGUGACGCCUGCCCGGUGCUGGAAGGUUAAUUGAUGGGGUCAGCCGCAAGGGGAAGCUCUUGAUCGAAGCCCCAGUAAACGGCGGCCGUAACUAUAACGGUCCUAAGGUAGCGAAAUUCCUUGUCGGGUAAGUUCCGACCUGCACGAAUGGCGUAAUGAUGGCCAGGCUGUCUCCACCCGAGACUCAGUGAAAUUGAACUCGCUGUGAAGAUGCAGUGUACCCGCGGCAAGACGGAAAGACCCCGUGAACCUUUACUAUAGCUUGACACUGAACAUUGAGCCUUGAUGUGUAGGAUAGGUGGGAGGCCUUGAAGUGUGGACGCCAGUCUGCAUGGAGCCAACCUUGAAAUACCACCCUUUAAUGUUUGAUGUUCUAACUCGGCCCCAUGAUCUGGGGUGAGGACAGUGUCUGGUGGGUAGUUUGACUGGGGCGGUCUCCUCCCAAAGAGUAACGGAGGAGCACGAAGGUUAGCUAAUCACGGUCGGACAUCGUGAGGUUAGUGCAAAGGCAUAAGCUAGCUUGACUGCGAGAGUGACGGCUCGAGCAGGUACGAAAGUAGGUCUUAGUGAUCCGGUGGUUCUGAAUGGAAGGGCCAUCGCUCAACGGAUAAAAGGUACUCCGGGGAUAACAGGCUGAUACCGCCCAAGAGUUCAUAUCGACGGCGGUGUUUGGCACCUCGAUGUCGGCUCAUCACAUCCUGGGGCUGAAGUAGGUCCCAAGGGUAUGGCUGUUCGCCAUUUAAAGUGGUACGCGAGCUGGGUUUAGAACGUCGUGAGACAGUUCGGUCCCUAUCUGCCGUGGGCGUUGGAAGAUUGAGAGGGGCUGCUCCUAGUACGAGAGGACCGGAGUGGACGAAUCACUGGUGUUCGGGUUGUCAUGCCAAUGGCAUUGCCCGGUAGCUAAAUUCGGAAGAGAUAACCGCUGAAAGCAUCUAAGCGGGAAACUUGCCUCGAGAUGAGUCUUCCCUGGGGCUUAAAGCCCCCUGAAGGAACGUUAAAGACUAUGACGUUGAUAGGCUGGGUGUGUAAGUGCAGCGAUGUAUUGAGCUAACCAGUACUAAUGAUCCGUGAGGCUUAACCU